UAUUUGGCCCAAUCCUUUACAGUACUACUUGGUUCCUGAUAUGGAUGAUGAAGAAGGGGAAGGAGAAGAAGAUGAUGAUGAUGAUGAAGAAGAAGAAGGAUUGGAAGAUAUUGAUGAAGAAGGAGAUGAGGAUGAAGGUGAUGAAGAUGAUGAUGAGGGGGAGGAAGGAGAGGAGGAUGAAGGAGAAGACGACUGAUGGAUUCCAACCUUCCUUUUUUAAUUUUCUCCAGUCCCUGGGAGCAACUUGCAGUCUUUUUUUUUUUUUCCCCCUCCUCUUGUGCUCAUUCGCCCUGUUUUUUGAAGUCUCUUUUCUCUCCCUUUAUACCAUGGUUCUCAACUUAUUUUGGGGGGGAAAUACCUUGAGCAGAAUACAGUGGGAAAAGAAUCUCUACCCCUUUCUGUUCCAAAUUCAUUUUUAUCCCUUCCUGUCUCAACAAAAACUUUAUGGAAUCAACACCACCGUGCUCUGUGGGAAAAAAGAAAAACCUUCUGCUCCCUUAGCUCUGCUGGAAGCUGGAGGGUGCUAGGCCCCUGUGUAGUAGUGCAUAGAAUUCUAGCUUUUUUCCUCCUUUCUCUGUAUAUUGGGCUCAGAGAUUACACUGUGUCUCUAUGUGAAUAUGGACAGUUAGCAUUUACCAACAUGUAUCUGUCUACUUUCUCUUGUUUAAAAAAAAGAAAAAAAAACUUAAAAAAAUGGGGUUAUAGAAGGUCAGCAAAGGGUGGGUUUGAGAUGUUUGGGUGGGUUAAGUGGGCAUUUUGACAACAUGGCUUCUCCUUUGGCAUGUU
RNAcentral lists this long non-coding RNA (786 nucleotides) under Lynx pardinus (Iberian lynx). Lineage: Eukaryota; Metazoa; Chordata; Mammalia; Carnivora; Felidae. The record is from RNAcentral.